UCAACUUGUGGGGAAAGUGGUAUAUCUUGUUCUCGAUUUUGAGGGCUAUUUGGAGCUUAGCUUGAGGCAUUAUGUAGUUGUCUUGGAGGAUUGGUCAUUGGAAGUAAAGUUUCAGGAGUAAAAGCAUGAGAGUUCCUUCGACUCUCCAUUCGAUCCAACCUCUCACGCAUAGUUAACACAUCCGAGUCAAUUUUUUUAAGACCUACAUUUGCCUAGCAAGGUCUCGGGAAAAAGCAUCAAG
RNAcentral lists this long non-coding RNA (241 nucleotides) under Capsicum annuum. RNAcentral's name for it is "long non-coding RNA (CANN_LNC016156)". Lineage: Eukaryota; Viridiplantae; Streptophyta; Magnoliopsida; Solanales; Solanaceae. The record is from RNAcentral.